Molecule: ribosomal RNA, 614 nt
Filed under: anaerobic digester metagenome
Description: bacterial SSU rRNA
Rfam family: Archaeal small subunit ribosomal RNA
Source: RNAcentral
GAAACUUAAAGGAAUUGGCGGGGGAGCACCGCAACGGGAGGAGCGUGCGGUUCAAUUGGAUUCAACGCCGAAAAACUCACCAGGAGCGACGGAUAUAUGAAGGUCAAGCUGAUGACUUUACCUGAUUUUCCGAGAGGUGGUGCAUGGCCGUCGUCAGUUCGUACCGUAAGGCGUUCUCUUAAGUGAGAUAACGAACGAGACCCUCACCUUUAAUUGCUAGUCUCUUCUCCGGAGGAGGCGCACAUUAAAGGGACCGCUGGCGCUAAGCCAGAGGAAGGUGAGGUCAACGGUAGGUCCGUAUGCCCCGAAUCUCCUGGGCAACACGCGCGCUACAAAGGACGGGACAAUGGGCUUCCACACCGAAAGGUGGAGACAAUCCCGAAACCCGCCCAUAGUUCGGAUUGUGGGCUGUAACUCGCCCACAUGAAGCUGGAUUCCGUAGUAAUCGCCUGUCAACAUCAGGCGGUGAAUAUGCCCCUGCUCCUUGCACACACCGCCCGUCAAACCACCCGAGUUGGGUUUCAGUAAGGAUAUCUCUCAUUGGGGUCUUCGAACUGAGAUUCAGCAAGGAGGGUUAAGUCGUAACAAGGUAUCUGUAGGGGAACCUGCAGAUG